Molecule: unclassified non-coding RNA, 1494 nt
Filed under: Penaeus monodon (black tiger shrimp)
Lineage: Eukaryota; Metazoa; Arthropoda; Malacostraca; Decapoda; Penaeidae
Description: arrestin homolog, transcript variant X2
Source: RNAcentral
CAACGCUGUUCGGCAUCAGCUUCCCUCCGACAAUCUUCGGGACUUCACACACUCCUCCGAGUCUACCAAAAACCACUUUAAUGGUUAACGCUGUUAAGGUCUUCAAAAAGACUUCACCUAAUGGUAAGGUCACCGCGUAUCUAAGUCGGCGGGACUUCGUGGACCACGUGAGCCACACCUCUCCCGUGGACGGUGUGGUGAUCGUGGACCAUGACUACCUGCGUGGAAGGAAAGUGUUCGCGCGCGUGGCGGUCACUUACCGCUACGGCCGCGAGGAGGAUGAAGUCAUGGGACUUCACUUCAGCAAGGAGCUCGAGCUGGUCAACAUCGAGGUCGCUCCUCAUGCUGGAGACGUCCAGAUGACCGACGUGCAGGAACGACUCAUCAAGAAGCUGGGUGCCAACGCCUACCCCAUCACCGUGAAUCUUCCGGAGAACGCCCCUUGUUCCGUCUCUCUCGACGGUGGGAGUGAGGGUUCUACUCAGCCUCUUGGUGUGAUUUACGAUCUCAAACUGUACGUUGCUGACCGCAAGGAGGAACGUCCUCACAAGCGGAACUCCGUCGGCUUUGCUGUCCGAAAGGUCCAAUACGCCUGUCCUGGCUCCAGCAACCGUCAGCCCCAGACCCUGGUUAGCAAGGGCUUCACUCUUUCUCCAGGAAGGCUCAACCUUGAGGUCACUUUGCCUCGCGACAUCUACUUCCAUGGACAGUCCAUCGAGGCACAGCUUUCCAUCAACAAUGUGUCCAAGAAGACCGUGAAGAACAUCAAGGCUGAGGUUGUGCAGCACGUGGAGGUCACCAUGACCAACACUCACUUCAGCCGAGUUGUGGCUUCACUCGAAUCUCGCGAAGGAUGUCCCAUCACCCCAGGAUGCAACCUCACCAAGACCUUCUCCCUCAACCCUGUUGCCUCUGUCAACAAGCGACGUUUCGGCAUCGCCCUCGAUGGCCAAGUCAAGGACCAGGACGCCAACCUGGCAUCCUCUACCUUGGUGGCAGAGGGUAAGAACGUCAGCGAUGCCUUGGGCAUCAUCGUGUCCUACUCUAUCCGCGUGAAGCUCAACUGCGGCGCUAUUGCCGGCGACCUGACUGCCGACCUUCCUUUCAAGCUGGUGCACCCCGAUCCUGCCUCUGUCAAGGCACCACUGCGCAAGAAUCAGUCUGCUGAUAUCGAAGUCGAGGAAUUUUCUCAGCUGCGCCGUGGUCAGUCCAUUGCUGAGGACUAAAGGAAGCAGGAGUUACACGAUGCUCAGGGAUCAGUCAAUCAUUGUCAACGAAUUCGAGUUUCAAGCAUCAGUUUAAUUGGAAGGGAAAUUGCAGUUACAAAUUCGCACACAAUUAGGUCUUUGCAUCGUACAGUUCUGUAUUAAAUGUUAGUAUUGUUAUUAAGUAUAUGUUAAGCAUACCAGCAUUAUAGCUUGAAUAUUAUAUUUUCAUGGACAUAACCAUGUAAUAUUAUUUUCUAUUGAAACUGCAAUAAAAUUUGAGAUAAAA